This 203-nucleotide ribosomal RNA is filed under the name uncultured bacterium. RNAcentral's name for it is "partial 16S ribosomal RNA". It matches the Rfam family "Bacterial small subunit ribosomal RNA", at positions 1299 to 1500 of the family's 1533-position model. The record is from RNAcentral.
UGCAGUCUGAAACUACGAGUGCAUGAAGCUGGAAUCGCUAGUAAUCGCAAAUCAGAAUGUUGCGGUGAAUACGUUCCCGGGUCUUGUACACACCGCCCGUCACACCAUGGGAGUUGGAAAUGCCCGAAGUCAGUGACCCAACCUAAGGGAGGGAGCUGCCGAAGGCAGGUUCGAUGACUGGGGUGAAGUCGUAACAAGGUAGC